This is a long non-coding RNA of Triplophysa dalaica, 1784 nucleotides long. RefSeq lists it as uncharacterized. The transcript has 2 exons. The record is from RefSeq and is a predicted model, not a curated record. NCBI's taxonomy places the organism in Eukaryota, Metazoa, Chordata, Actinopteri, Cypriniformes, Nemacheilidae.
GUUUUUUUAUCUUAUAGCCGACCAUCAGUGAACCUAUUUCUAAUUCUCAAAACAUGAAACAUGUGACACACAGUGAGAAGCCGGAUACAAGUCUCUCGGCGUAUUAUGAUGAGGGUGAUCGUCAUGAGACUUCACAACACAAUGCCUCUUAUGCCUGGGGGCAGAAAGAGGCUCUGUUUCCUGACAAUGAUGAUAGAGAGAGAGACGGGAGGAUGGAAGAGGAACGUUACUUCUCUGUCAAUAGAGGGAGUAGCUUUAUGUCAUCAGGUGUGAUGGUCUAGGACAGGAGGAUCUUGCUGUGCCAUAUACAUUGACCCCAAAAACAAUUAAGAUACUUAAUUCAGAUACUUACUUGUGUAAAAGUAGAAACAUAUGUUUAACAUAAAAAAUGUACAGUAAAAUAUUAAAAAAUCCUUACAAACAUGUUUACCAAAAGUUUUUUUUUAAUUUUUAAUUAAAGCUGGACAGUACUUUUUUACUCUAGUAUAUUUUCAAGUUUUUGUACCUUAGUGUUUCCACUUUCGAAAGAAUAUACUUCAUUAUAUUCUAAAGCAUCUGUCAUACUUAUUACUCCACUAAAUUUCAUAAAUACAAGUUGUUUUUCCUUUUUAUACUUAAAAAGUAAAAUUAAGAAAGUACUAGAUUUAUAAUUGAAAUAAAAAUAAAAAAUAAACAUUUACUGUAUUUAUGAAAGGUAGUGGAUAUACCGUAUGCUUUAUAAUGUAGGGAAGUUUCAAAGUGAAAACAUCUGAUAAAAUACUUGAACAUUUUCUCAAAUACUGUCCACUGUGCAUUUCUGGUUGCCAAGCAUAAUGGAACAUGUCCAUAGUUAAUGUGACAAAUUGCACAUCUGGUUACUCUGAUAAGACGCCUGUGUGAACUUGAGUGUAAAGACUUUUUGGGGCCAUCCACUGUACUGUAAAUGAGGAGUCAAAAAGAGAUGACAUGUUUUUAGAGCCCUAUUUUAUACUGUAAUGUGAACACUACACUGUGGAAUUUCUAUACUUUUUAUAUUCAUUAGUAUUAAGUAAAUAUUACGUUUUUUAAACUGUAUUUUAAAUAUCUUUUAUUUUUUACUGUACACAAUGUUAGCUAAACACUGUAUGAGCCAUUCUCGAAAGAGGCUCUUUCUUACUGAAACCUCAACGGUUGAAUGAAGGCAUUUGUGCUUGUCUGUGUGCACUUAUAUAUGUAGCUGUGCACACACACUUUAUUUGUCUGUUUGUAUCUAAUAUCAUUUAUCUUUUCACAAUUUUGUUUGCAUGUGAAGGUGCAAACAAAAUGCGUCAUGUGUGUCGCCUCCGAAUGUGUGAAUGUGUAAUAUUAAGAAUAACGCCUGUUGUUUUAGUUAUAAAAACACAAUGAGCCAGUGAUAAACACAUUUAAUUGAUUGAAACAUACAAUUCAAAAAGAGAAUUGUAAUCAAUAAUGACAUACAUUGGUGCAAUGUACAAUCAAGAAUGCUAGAAGCUUCUUUUCUCGGUGAAAAAAAUCAGCUCUAAAACAAAAAGGGUUUUAUUUGUUUACUCCUCAAUCUUCCAGCCUUCCUCUAUGUUGUUUAAUUGAUUUAAAAUGUUACCUUACAAGAUUGAGUUUUUUGUAUUGAUUUUUAGAUUUAGUACAACACACUAGAUCUAAUUAUUCGCAUCCUGUUGCAAUUUAUUUUUAUUUAAUUGCAUUGAUUUCUUUGUUUUUAGUUUGCUGCUCUGGAGUAUUAAUCUUUGUUACAGUCUUUUCCCCUGUACUGCUAUUGAUUGUUCAUUCUCAAUAAACGGUGAAAGGGU